RNAcentral lists this long non-coding RNA (920 nucleotides) under Triticum aestivum (bread wheat). Its description in RNAcentral is "long non-coding RNA (TAES_LNC023455)". The record is from RNAcentral. Lineage: Eukaryota; Viridiplantae; Streptophyta; Magnoliopsida; Poales; Poaceae.
UUUUGAAAUUUCUUUGACUAUGUAGUGUAGAUAAAUAAAUACUCUUAGCAGACUGGAUUUGAGGCAUUCUAGUUUAUUUGGUAGACGAAAUUCAGUUUAGAUUCUGAAUUUGUUGAAUAUGUGACAAUUCCUUCAUUCUCAAGUGCAAUAGAUCCUUUGUGGUAGUAAGAAUUCAUAUUAUUGUGAUGUUUACUCCUGUUUAAGUUUUUCAUUCUCAUUGUUCUGACCGGUUACCAUUUUGGUUUGCAGAAAGGUACCAAGAGGGUGCAUUUCGUCAUGUACUUGAUCAGGGAGGUCGCUGGGUUUGCUCUGUAUGAGAAGCGUAUCACUGAGCUUCUCCAUCUCCCUCUCAUCUUCCUUUGCUCGCUAUUGCUACUCCGAAUUAUACAUGUUGGCAAAAAGAUGUCCCUGUUUCGUCAGUACUAUGCACUGCUAUAUUUAUGUGGUUGUCUUGUGUGCAUCUUAUUUUGAAACCAAGUGAGACACCUCCAUCCCCUACAUCUUGACGAUCCCUCUACUAGUGUACAUUUGAGUUGCUCUCACUACCUCCUGCCCCAAGAUUCGUAAUUGCAUUUGUUGCCUGCUCACUUAAUUAAUUAAAACUGCAUGUGUUCGUGUAAGUAUGGCUGUGAGAACGAUAUCAAUGGUGCCUUCCACCAAACAGAUUGAACUUUUAAUACAUGCUAUGCAUGCUUGUGUACGUAAACAUUCUUUAUAUUUGUUGUUGUUAUUGUUGACCAUGCAGUCUAAAAAACACACUGUCUUUUCUUUUCGUGUGUAACAGCCAAGAUGAUUUGCUUUACACUUACAAUUCGUGUUGACUAAAUCCGAGCAAGUCUCCUGCAGUUCCACCAUAAGUAACACUCUGCAGGUGCAGCUCAAAUCUUGCUCUAUUUCUUUUUUGUGUUGGCUCGAUCAGG